GAGGGUGUAGCUCAGCAGUAGAGCACAUGCUUAGCAUGCACGAGGUCCUGGGUUCAAUCCCCAGUACCUCCA
This 72-nucleotide transfer RNA is filed under the name Camelus bactrianus (Bactrian camel). It matches the Rfam family "tRNA". Rfam says of the family: Transfer RNA (tRNA) molecules are approximately 80 nucleotides in length. Lineage: Eukaryota; Metazoa; Chordata; Mammalia; Artiodactyla; Camelidae. RNAcentral also lists the same sequence under 2 other names. The record is from Rfam by way of RNAcentral.